CUUAUCUUCGUUUAGUUCCUUUCCUUUUCCUACCUAUCAGAGUCCUGAUGACAUGAGACAUUACAGUUGCAAUUUUGGAUAUUUACUACUGAAAUUUUGCUUAAUUUUUUUUCUUCUGUGGGGGAGGUGGGAGGGAGAUGGGAAUGGUUUGUUGGGGCCUUGGAUUUUCGAGCUUUUGUCAGCUACCGAGACGAGUCAUCACGACUCAGGAGCGACGAGUCCGUCGUCACACUCAUUCGCGGCCGGCGGCCGUGGCCAUUUUGGGGAAGGAAACAAGGAAUGCAGCUGCUUCCCACGAUUGCAUCCUGGCCUCCUGGGGUGGGUCUGUGGCGUGGGUUAUCAUUACUGUGGUAGUCAAUCUAAGUUAAGAAAAAGCUCCGAUUUUUUUUUUUUU
Macadamia integrifolia is the source of this 394-nucleotide long non-coding RNA. RefSeq lists it as uncharacterized. The record is from RefSeq and is a predicted model, not a curated record. The transcript is spliced from 2 exons. NCBI's taxonomy places the organism in Eukaryota, Viridiplantae, Streptophyta, Magnoliopsida, Proteales, Proteaceae.